Molecule: ribosomal RNA, 439 nt
Filed under: uncultured bacterium
Lineage: Bacteria
Description: bacterial SSU rRNA
Rfam family: Bacterial small subunit ribosomal RNA
Source: RNAcentral
GAUGAACGCUGGCGGCGUGCUUAACACAUGCAAGUCGAACGAAGCACUUAUCUUUGAUUCUUCGGAUGAAGAGGUUUGUGACUGAGUGGCGGACGGGUGAGUAACGCGUGGGUAACCUGCCUCAUACAGGGGGAUAACAGUUAGAAAUGACUGCUAAUACCGCAUAAGACCACGGAGCCGCAUGGCUCAGUGGGAAAAACUCCGGUGGUAUGAGAUGGACCCGCGUCUGAUUAGGUAGUUGGUGGGGUAACGGCCUACCAAGCCAACGAUCAGUAGCCGACCUGAGAGGGUGACCGGCCACAUUGGGACUGAGACACGGCCCAAACUCCUACGGGAGGCAGCAGUGGGGAAUAUUGCACAAUGGGGGAAACCCUGAUGCAGCGACGCCGCGUGAGCGAAGAAGUAUUUCGGUAUGUAAAGCUCUAUCAGCAGGGAAGAA